This 5400-nucleotide long non-coding RNA is filed under the name Sus scrofa (pig). Its description in RNAcentral is "lncRNA (ENSSSCG00035071023.1)". Lineage: Eukaryota; Metazoa; Chordata; Mammalia; Artiodactyla; Suidae. The record is from RNAcentral.
UCUUUCUCAUUCUUUCAUUUGUACCCAUGUGAAUUUUAAAAAGUUAUUCAUCAGGCUUGUAUCUUACAGCAGCCUAGGGUUAGUUGCUAGAGCCGAAUAGACCUGGGUCGGUCUCCAUUCCAGUUCUGGCACCAGCUAGCUGUGUGUUCUUGAGCUGGCCAGUUAGCCUGUGCAGACCUUAGUUUCCUCAUCUUGUAACCCUUACUUGGGGAUUGAAAUACCUACUUGCGACUUCUCCAAUGGGUAGACAUACUGUGUAAGAAAGUCCCUGGCACAUCCAAAGUGUUAGUUAUUAUUAAUGUCAACGUUAUUAUCUUUGUCUUUGUCUUUAUAUCUGUUAAGAUGCCUAUUUCUCAAUCACAAUCAUAACUUACCUUCUUUGGUUAUUUUACCUUUCUUUUCUUUUUUUUUUUUUUUUUUUUUUUUUUUCCGCUUUAUCCUUUGUUCUCCCAUCUCUCCAGUUAAUUAUUGGAGACAUGUUGCUAAGCAUAGCAAUUGUGGCAGCUAACCACUGGGGCUGUGUUUCUAAUCACAUCUAGCCCAGAAAAGAACCCCUUCACACAUCCUUUUCCCUCUUUAUCCUACUUAGUCUAUUCGUUAUGAGCUUUUCCUUUUUAGAGUUCACCUGAGAACAUUAUUUUCUACUCUUUUGUGUCUUUUCCUAUCUUUUAGUUGUUCAAAAAAUGAAGGAGUUAUACCAGCUAUGAAGUCCUUUGACCCUGACAUUCAGUGAUUCUGUGAAAAGAACAAAUGCAGCUGUGACCACCCAGGUGUGUUGUGAGACCUGCUCAUCUUUAUUGAGCACCUGCUACCAGCAGUAUUUAGGUCUUGAUAAUGCAGAACAGUGGUUCUUAAAUUUUAUAAGCCCAAGAAUGACUCAGACUGCUUAUUAAGAUGCAGAUUCCCUGCACUGGAGUUCAACUGCAGCUCAAAUCUGAUCCCUGGCCCAGGAACUCCAUAUGCCAUGGGAUGGCUAAAAAGGGAAAAAAUAAAUUUAAAAUUUAAGUUUUUUUAAAAAGAAAGUAAAUGAUAGCUGAUUCUUGCUCUCAAGAGAUUAUAAUAUAAGAGGGGUAACAAGUAAUUAUAACAAGAGGCAAAAUGAAGUGCUAUAAUAAAGGUACGAACAAAGGUGUUUUGGAAACUCAGAGGAAGAUUGAGAAAAAUAGUUUUCUGGAAGAGUUGGCACUUGAGAUAGGAGUCAGAUUUCAAUACAAGGAACAAAGAGAGAAGAACAUUACAGCCAUAGGAACAGCAUGAACAAAGGUACAGUGUUAGAAGGCCUGAUGGUAUGUGGGAGGAAUAUGGGAGGAUGGUCAAUACUAUAUUCUGAUGAGUGUGCAGAUUAUGUCCAGAGUUUCAAAGGGAGAUGAGGUGAGCUAUGGAGGCCUGGGAGAAGUGCUAUUUUGAAGGGAGGGACUAGAGGAUUGCCAUAAUCAGGACAGUGUUGUAGAAGGAUCACCAGCAACAAAAGUAAAGAGUUGAGGGGUUAAGUGUAGUAGAUUAACUAUCUUAGUAGCAUCUGUACUGAGGUCUGGAUUUGGGGAGUUGUUGCACAAAUGAAAGGGGGAGGGCAGAGGAAGAAAUAGGCAGAGUGGCUGAUUGGAUCUGGGGGAUGAGCAGAAAAGUGGAGAAUGGCACCCAGUUGUUGAACCUGGGUGACAGGGAAGGCGGUGGACCUUACCAGAAGUUAGACAAAGAGCAAUCCAAAGGUGACAGUGUGCUGAGGAGUGGGGCCCAUGCCAAGUUUGAAGUGUAAUUGGACCUUCUAUAUGGAAGGGUUUGGUGGGCAUUGAAAGCUUGGAGAUGUUGCUUUGAGAAUCGUUAUAGAAAAAUUGUUGAUACCAUUCAAGUAGCUGAGACAGCCUAGGGAGAAAAUUUAAUUCCUCCUCACCUGCCACUUUUUUCUUCUCCCACUAUCUGUACUUCUGUACCUUUUCCCAGAGCCUGAGAGGUGAGUUUUGAUGGGCCCUAUCCUGUGCCCACACCCCCUCUAUAAUACUGCCUGUCUUAUUAACUGAUAAGUGUUACUAGUUCUCAGAGCAGCCCUCUAAGGGGGCAUUUCUUUCCAGUACUUGAACAAAACACAGUGACUGAACCAUUUUCCAAGGCACUGAUGAGUUAGCUAGGGGAAGGGAAAUCCUGCCCGUCUCCUGCAGUGAUCAGACUGGCCCCUGGGCCAUUGUGUCUGGGCUGAACCUACAGAUUACAUAAACUCGGGGUGGGGGGGGAGGUGUCUGCCACUCCUUAGCAUGGGGGGGGCCAUCAGUAAUUACAGGAUGGUCCCUCUAUAGCACAUUUCCUUCUUCAUUGGCAGUCUAAGGACGUCGUGGAAUAGGGUCAUAGUUAAUAGGUUGGCCUGAAAAAAUAGUAGUAAUUUCCAUUGUUCUCCCUAGUUCUCUCAUUAUUCUGAGAAGCUAAAAGCAGUGGCUCUGGCAGCAUUUAUAUUUCCCCAAAUUUUUGUAAUAAAUAUGUAUUAUUGUUAAAAUCAGGGAAAAAGUUUUCUGUUAAAAUUGUGCUGCUUAUGUCUGUCAGUAUUAGAUGUUAUCCUUCUCAGAGUAAUCCCUGCCCAUUGACUGACUCCCUGCUGCCCUGAAGGAGCCCUCUGGUGUUUAAAUGUUUCUUAUGUUAUGGACCCUUUGGAAAUCUAUUGUGAUUUUUGGUUCACUUCUUUUUCUUUAAAAUGGUGCUUUUCUGAGGCCUCAAAACUGACUGAUAUCAGUGAAUUCAAGUGAGAACAUCAUUUAAAUUCAUUUAAAUGUAAAGAACAGAAAAGGAAUAGGUUUUUUUGUUUUGUUUUUUUUUUUAGAGCAGGGGGCCUGUUUGGGGGGAAACCGGCCAAGUCCCUAAUGGUGAAGGAUAGUAAUUUGUUCUUGAGGAACUGCUUUGAGUGGCUGCAUUGAAAUAGGUUUUCGUUGUUUUGUUUUUUGGGGUUUUUUUGUCUUUUGUCUUUUUAAGGCUGCACCCUCAGCAUAUGGAGGUUCCCAGGCCAGGGGUCAAAUCGGAGCUGUAGCUGCUGGCCUACUCCACAGCCACAGCGAUGCAGAAUACAAGCCGUGUCUGUGACUUACACCACAGCUCAUGGCAAUGCCGGAUCCUUAACCUACUGAGCAAGGCCAGGGAUCCACCCCUAGUCCUCGUGGAUACUAGUCGGGUUUGUUAACCAUUGAGCCACAAUGGGAACUACUGAAGUAGGUUUUUAUAUGCACUUAAUUGUAAUGAGAGAUGAUUGGAGACCAACUUGAAGAUUUUCCUCUAAAAUGGCAAUUUUAUUUGUGAUGCUUCCUUGCUUUACAGUUAUUUAAUCCUGAAUUGGAAGCAGAAUUUAGAGACUAACAAGAUUGAACCCUAACACUUCUUCCACUGAGUUAAAAAAAAAAAACAGUUUUUUUUAAACUUAUUUUGGGACCAUAGGUCUUUCCUUAUAGGUCUUGAUGUUGCUUGAGAAAUGGAAACCCUAAAUUCGGGUAUGUCACCUAGGAAGAUUUUGUAGGGUUCUGCAAAGGCAGAAGUCCCACCACCUCUGGUGGUACUUGUCUUUUUGAUGGCUAGACUUUGAUCCCUAGAUUGUCUUUUCUGUAAGUCUUGGGUCACUGUUAGGACUAUCAAGAGGGCACCUACUUAGAAACUUUGAGAGAGUUCCUGUUGUAGCUUAGCAGUUUAAGGACCUGAUGUUGUUGGGCUUCCAUCAAUCCUGCCCAUUUGUGUGGGGCUUGGCCUUUCAUACUCACUAUUUUUUGUUAACCUAACAGUAGCCUGAGGGAGAUGGGAGGAGUUGAAAGAGGAGGCAUAUUGCUACUCUCUUCUAAGGUGAUCAGAUGGUGUUGUAGUUUCAAAAGAGGUAAGGCUUGGGCUAAACCUUUCAGUGUAGGUCAUUUGAUGGAGAAGAGAAUUCUAUCCAGGAGCAGUGGGGAGGAGGAAGGAGAAAGCCCUGUGACUUUGUAGGGGUGACUCAAGUGUUCUGGCAGACUUGUGAGGCAGAGUGCAGGAAGGUAAUGUUAGGCACCUUGAGUAUGUCCACAGACAAUGGAGAGGAUUAGAUGCAAGUUGUCAUUCUCCUGCUUGCACCAACAAAACUUCUCAGUAUGUUGCCAUAGAAAGAGAAUGGGACAGUGAAAUUAGAUCUAUCUUCUGUCUCUUUUUUUGUCACAAACAGAGCCAGCUAAUUUUCCUUACCUCUCAGAAUUUAAAUUUUAUAUCUCUAAAGUUAUGAUGCUAUCCACUUUACAGGGUUGUUGUGAAAUGAAAGAAUUAGUUUGAGGAGAAAAUGCUCCCUCGAAUUGUAUUCAAGGCCCUUCGUAGUCUGACAGUACUGUGUCCUUUUCGCCUUACCCCUGCCCCAACCAUCAACAUCAGCCACACUGCAUUGCUCACUGUUCCUUGAAUGCUGGUUUUCUGCCCUCCUGCUUAACCCCACACCUCUAGGCUCUGAGCAUCUCCUGGAAUGCCUUUUAUCUUUUCUCUAAUCCCAGUCUUCCUAAUCUCCCAGCCCUCCCCCACCCCCUCAAAUCUUAACUGUUUCUGAAACCUGCCCCUGAACUCUGCCCAGAGUAAUCUGCUCCUCCUCCAAACUCCAGUUAAGUGCUUGCUAUCUACAGAUUCCUUCUUUGUGUUGUGGUCUUAAUUACCUUUUAAGGCAGUCCUCCACUCCCACCUUAGAUUCUAAAUCUUAUACCUGCAUAGCUAUCCUGCACAACAGUGAGUAAUACUGAUACUUCGUAGUAAAUAUUUGUGGGUUCAUUCUUGUGGUGAUUUGUUGAGAAAUGAAUAGAGCCUAUAUCCUAAGACAAAACAUUUGUGCCUGUGGAGACUAUAAACUAAUACAAAGGAGACUGAAACUCCUCAGAGAGGACUCUUUAGAAAGGUCUAAACAGUAAGGGUUAUCUCUUAAAUUCUUGGGAAUCCUGCUGAAACAUGUGUAAGGCAAAGUUGAUUGGCUAUGUAGACUUCUCCUUACUUCUCCCAAAGCCUUGUGAGAAAUGGAAAGCUCAUCUGAAAAUACUAGUUUAUAGUAUGGUAUCUUUGAAAGAGACAAAUGUACAAGGAAUUAAUACAAACAUAAAUGUUCAGGGAGUUCCCAUUGUGGCUCAGAGGGUUUUGAACAGACUAGUAUCCAUGAAGAUGCGGGUUCAAUUCCUGGCCUUGUUCAGGGGGUUAAGAAUCCAGCAUUAUGGAGUUCCUGUCAUGGUGCAGCGGAAACGAAUAUGACUAGUAACCAUAAGGUUGCAGGUUCGAUCCCUGGCCUCGCUCAGUGUGUUAAGGAUCCGGCGUUGCUGUGGGCUAUGGUGUAGGUCUCAGAUGUGGCUUGGAUCUGGAGUUGCUGUGGCGCUGGCAUAGGUCAGCGGCAACAGCUCCAAUUAAACCCCCAGCCUGGGAACCUCCACAUGCCACUGGUGUGGCCCU